Molecule: ribosomal RNA, 561 nt
Filed under: Massilia agri
Lineage: Bacteria; Pseudomonadati; Pseudomonadota; Betaproteobacteria; Burkholderiales; Oxalobacteraceae
Description: bacterial SSU rRNA
Rfam family: Bacterial small subunit ribosomal RNA
Source: RNAcentral
AUGCAUGCUGGGCGCAGCCUGAUCCAGCAAUGCCGCGUGAGUGAAGAAGGCCUUCGGGUUGUAAAGCUCUUUUGUCAGGGAAGAAACGGCCGCGGCUAAUAUCUGCGGCUAAUGACGGUACCUGAAGAAUAAGCACCGGCUAACUACGUGCCAGCAGCCGCGGUAAUACGUAGGGUGCAAGCGUUAAUCGGAAUUACUGGGCGUAAAGCGUGCGCAGGCGGUUUUGUAAGUCUGACGUGAAAGCCCCGGGCUCAACCUGGGAAUUGCGUUGGAGACUGCAAGGCUUGAAUCUGGCAGAGGGGGGUAGAAUUCCACGUGUAGCAGUGAAAUGCGUAGAGAUGUGGAGGAACACCGAUGGCGAAGGCAGCCCCCUGGGUCAAGAUUGACGCUCAUGCACGAAAGCGUGGGGAGCAAACAGGAUUAAAUACCCUGGUAGUCCACGCCCUAAACGAUGUCUACUAGUUGUCGGGUUUUAAUUAACUUGGUAACGCAGCUAACGCGUGAAGUAGACCGCCUGGGGAGUACGGUCGCAAGAUUAAAACUCAAAUGAAAUUUGACGGA